UACGUAGGUGACCAGCGUUGUCCGGAUUUACUGGGCGUAAAGAGCGCGCAGGCGGUCGUUCAAGUCGAGUGUGAAAGCCCCCGGCUCAACUGGGGAGGGUCACUCGAUACUGAUCGACUUGAAGGCAGGAGAGGGAAGCGGAAUUCCCGGUGUAGUGGUGAAAUGCGUAGAUAUCGGGAGGAACACCAGUGGCGAAGGCGGGUCUCUGGACAGUUCCUGACACUGAGACACGAAGGCCAGGGGAGCAAACGGG
RNAcentral lists this ribosomal RNA (253 nucleotides) under uncultured bacterium. Its description in RNAcentral is "partial 16S ribosomal RNA". It matches the Rfam family "Bacterial small subunit ribosomal RNA", at positions 524 to 776 of the family's 1533-position model. The record is from RNAcentral.